AAGCCUGUAAAGACACCAUUAAGGAGAUCCGGUAGAGUAUUGCAUCAAUCGGAUAGAUACUAUGAUUUUUUGAUCUGGGAUGGUGAUCCUAUCAAACUCGAUGAGAAUGAUGAACAUCUGAUCACCUAUAUAGAAGUCAUGCAAAGGUCUGACUCCCAAAAGUGGCUUGAGGCCAUGAAAUCUAAGAUAGAGUCCAUGG
RNAcentral lists this long non-coding RNA (199 nucleotides) under Elaeis guineensis (African oil palm). RNAcentral's name for it is "long non-coding RNA (EGUI_LNC031725)". The record is from RNAcentral. Lineage: Eukaryota; Viridiplantae; Streptophyta; Magnoliopsida; Arecales; Arecaceae.